This is a non-coding RNA of Pan troglodytes (chimpanzee), 557 nucleotides long. The record is from the annotation of a RefSeq genome assembly. Lineage: Eukaryota; Metazoa; Chordata; Mammalia; Primates; Hominidae.
ACUAGAUAUUCUGGCAGGCCAAGGAUGGAGACUCUUCUGAAAGUGCUUUCAGGCACCUUGUUGUGGCAGUUGACCUGGGUGAGAAGCCAACAACCAGUGCAGAGUCCUCAAGCCAUGAUCCUCCGAGAAGGGGAAGAUGCUGUCGUCAACUGCAGUUCCUCCAAGGCUUUAUAUUCUGUACACUGGUACAGGCAGAAGCAUGGUGAAGCACCCAUCUUCCUGAUGAUAUUACUGAAGGGUGGAGAACAGAAGGGUCAUGACAAAAUAUCUGCUUCAUUUAAUGAAAAAAAGCAGCAAAGCUCCCUGUACCUUAUGGCCUCCCAGCUCAGUUACUCAGGAACCUACUUCUGUGGUGCAGAGACACAGUGAUACCCAGGCCUCCAAGACCUGUACUCAAACCUAAAGCUGAGCCACAGGUGCUCCCCUAGCACAGAUGCUCACCACAGGAGUAUGGGAAACUUACCAGAAGGUUCAUCCAUGAUAAAAGAGAAACCUGAAGGAAAUUCAUUUGCUUCAACAUAUAACACAAAAAGCAAGCCAUGGCCUUAAGACCAUAU